This 520-nucleotide unclassified non-coding RNA is filed under the name uncultured Paraglomus. Its description in RNAcentral is "SSU rRNA". It matches the Rfam family "Eukaryotic small subunit ribosomal RNA", at positions 569 to 1096 of the family's 1831-position model. Lineage: Eukaryota; Fungi; Glomeromycota; Glomeromycetes; Paraglomerales; Paraglomeraceae. The record is from RNAcentral.
AGCAGCCGCGGUAAUUCCAGCUCCAAUAGCGUAUAUUAAAGUUGUUGUGGUUAAAAGCUCGUAGUAGAACCUUGGGCCUGGCUGGCCGGUCCGCCUCACCGCGUGCACUGGUCCGGCCGGGCCUUUCCCUCUGUGGAACCGCAUGCCCUUCACUGGGUGUGCCGGGGAAACAGGACUUUUACUUUGAAAAAUUAGAGUGCUCCAGGCAGGCCUAUGCUCGAAUACAUUAGCAUGGAAUAAUAGAAUAGGACGUGUGGUUCUAUCUUGUUGGUUUCUAGGACCGCCGUAAUGAUUAAUAGGGACAGUCGGGGGCAUCAGUAUUCAAUUGUCAGAGGUGAAAUUCUUGGAUUUAUUGAAGACUAACUACUGCGAAAGCAUUUGCCAAGGAUGUUUUCAUUUAUCAGGAACGAAGUUAGGGAUCGAAGACGAUCAGAUACCGUCGUAGUCUUAACCAUAAACUAUAGCCGACUAGGGAUCGGACGAUGUUAUUUUUGACUUCGUUCGGUCUACCUUACGGGAA